RNAcentral lists this ribosomal RNA (250 nucleotides) under uncultured bacterium. RNAcentral describes it as "partial 16S ribosomal RNA". It matches the Rfam family "Bacterial small subunit ribosomal RNA", at positions 524 to 773 of the family's 1533-position model. The record is from RNAcentral.
UACGGAGGGUGCAAGCGUUAUCCGGAAUCACUGGGCGUAAAGGGCGCGUAGGCGGCCUGUUAAGUCCGAUGUUAAAGACUGGGGCUCAACCCCAGCAUUGCGUUGGAUACUGGCAGGCUUGACGGUUGGAGAGGCGAGUGGAAUUACCAGUGUAGCGGUGAAAUGCGUAGAUACUGGUAGGAACACCCAUUGCGAAGGCAGCUCGCUGGACAACACGUGACGCUGAGGCGCGAAAGUGUGGGGAGCAAAC